Molecule: ribosomal RNA, 260 nt
Filed under: uncultured bacterium
Lineage: Bacteria
Description: partial 16S ribosomal RNA
Rfam family: Bacterial small subunit ribosomal RNA
Source: RNAcentral
UAACACGUAAACAACCUGCCUUCAGGAUGGGGACAACAGACGGAAACGACUGCUAAUACCGAAUAAGUUCCAAGAGCCGCAUGGCCCAUGGAAGAAAAGGUGGCCUCUACCUGUAAGCUAUCGCCUGAAGAGGGGUUUGCGUCUGAUUAGCUGGUUGGAGGGGUAACGGCCCACCAAGGCGACGAUCAGUAGCCGGUCUGAGAGGAUGAACGGCCACACUGGAACUGAGACACGGUCCAGACUCCUACGGGAGCAGCAUG